Molecule: ribosomal RNA, 118 nt
Organism: Oncorhynchus tshawytscha (Chinook salmon)
Lineage: Eukaryota; Metazoa; Chordata; Actinopteri; Salmoniformes; Salmonidae
Source: Ensembl
GCUUACGACCACACGGGCUGAGUACGCCUGAUCUCGUCUGAUCUCGGAAGCUAAGCAGGGUCGGGCCUGGUUAGUACUUGGAUGGGAGACUUCCUGGGAAUACCAGGUGCUGUAAGCU